CACUGCCAAGUGGCUGCUCACGGAUCUGGAAUUGAAUAUAUCCCAAUAUCCCACUGCUGGAUCUCGAUAUCCCACUGCUGGAUCUGGGACAUGGAAAUUUGGGGAAAAGCAGCCCUGGAACGGAAUAUAUUCCAAUAUCCCACUGCUGGAUCCCAAUAUCCCACUGCUGGAUCUGGGACAUGGAAAUUUGGGGAAAAGCAGCCCUGGAAUGGAAUAUAUCCCACUGCCAAGUGGCUGCUCACGGAUCUGGAAUUGAAUAUAUCCCAAUAUCCCACUGCUGGAUCUCGAUAUCCCACUGCUGGAUCUGGGACAUGGAAAUUUGGGGAAAAGCAGCCCUGGAACGGAAUAUAUUCCAAUAUCCCACUGCUGGAUCCCAAUAUCCCACUGCUAGAUCUGGGACAUGGAAAUUUGGGGAAAAGCAGCCCUGGAAUGGAAUAUAUCCCAAUAAUCCACGGCCAAAUGGCUGGUCCUGGACCUGGAAUUGAAUAUAUCCCAAUAUCCCACUGCUGGAUCUCAAUAUCCCACUGCUGGAUCUGGGACAUGGAAAUUUCGGGAAAAGCAGCCCUGGAAUGGAAUAUAUCCCAAUAACCCACUGCCAAAUGGCUGCUCCUGGACCUGGAAUUGAAUAUAUCCCAAUAUCUCACUGCCAAAUGGCUGCUCCUGGAUCUGGGACAUGGAAAUUUCGGGAAAAGCAGCCCUGGAAUGGAAUAUAUCCCAAUAUCCCACUGCUGGAUCCCAAUAUUCCACUCCUGGAUCUAGCACAUGGAAAUUUGGGGAAAUUGAAUAUAUCCCAAUAUCCCACUGCCAAAUGGCUGCUCCUGGAUCUGGAAUUGAAUAUAUCCCAAUAUCCCACUGCUGGAUCUGGGACAUGGAAAUUGGGAGAAAAGCAACCCUGGAAUGGAAUAUAUCCCAAUAACCCACUGCCAAAUGGCUGCUCAUGGCCCUGGAAUUGAAUAUAUCCCAAUACCCCACUGCUGGAUCCCAAUAUCCCAGUCCUGGAUCUGGCACAUGGAAAUUUGGAGAAAUUGAAUAUAUCCCAAUAUCCCACUGCCAAAUGGCUGCUCCUGGGCCUGGGACAUGGAAAUUUGGGGAGCAGGGACCUCGGGGAAGAGGUGCAGGGGAAGAGCCAAGAGGGUUAAACAAGAAAAUCGCUGUACAACUCGGCCAUGUCCAAAGUCAGUAUUAUUACAAUAUACUCUGACAAAAAUAUAAUCUCAUUUCAUAUCAAUACAACAAAAAAAAAAAAAACAAAAACAAAAAAACAAAAAAAAACCCCAAACCAGUUUUCUGUACUGUUACCAUUGCUAACAGAUUGAAACUUGCUAUUUACAGUUACAGUAGCCAGGUAAAAUACUACAGGUGAAAGACCAGAGAGAGGAGGGGCAGAGGGAGAGAAGGGAGAAAAAAUCACCAGGGAAAGGGGAAAAUAAAGGGGGAAAGGCCCUCUUACAUCCCAAAUGUGGCUUCCUGCUUUGGACAAGAAAGGGUGGUGGAUGGAGGUAGUGAAAACAUAAUACUUGGUUUGUGGGUCUGGUUGGGUUCUUUUGUGGAAAGGAAAAGAGAAAAAAAAAGAAAAAAAAAAGAAAAAAAAAGAAAAAAAAAAAAAAAGAGAGAAAGGUGAAGUGAGAGGGCAAGGUGGAAUAAAGGAUGAACAUGGGAAAGGGAAACCAGAGCAAACCUUCAGCUGAAGCCCACUGUUAGACACAGCCCAGGAGAAGUGGAUGGGGAUGAAUUUUCACCACUUUGGGUGGUGAAAAUCUCCCAAACAUCCCCAAAUUGUGCCCCUAGCUGGAGGGAUGGGAGGCAGGAUGUGGCAGAGCUGAGGAGGGGCUGGGAAAUGCUCCUUCCCCAGCUGAUGGAUGCUCUCCCCUCUCCCCAGGAGGGCAGAGGGGACCCCCAGAGCACCAAGUGCCCCUCGGCCCAGCCAAGCCUUGUCCCCAGAGCUGGUGACAAACACCCCAAUAUCCCAAUUCACACCCAAAGUGAGGGGGGGAACCCCCCAGCCAAGCAACACAAGGGGAGGAAAAAGUGUAGGAAGUGAAAUUUUCAAGGAAAAGGUGGGGAUGUUUUUUUGUGAAUUUGCUUUUUCCUUGGUUCGCCGAAAUUAUUCUGGAGAGGAAGAGGGAAGUGAAAAGGGGGAAGGAAAAGGAAAUAUUUUCUUUCUCUUUGCCCCACUUUCCCCCAGGCCCAUCACCACCAGCUCUGGAUUUAACACUUCCACUGCCCCCAGACCCCAACCUGGCAGUGGCCUCAGACACCCCACAGCAACAAACUCCUCCACAAGGGACCCCCAGAGUGUCCCUGCCACACCCACAGCCCCCAUGGGGGCUCAGGUGCCCCUGACACCCCCACAGCCACUGCCAGCCUGCCCCAGCACCGAGCUCUUCAUUCAAACACCCUGCACAGCCAGGCUCUGUCCCUGUCCCUGCACAGCCAGGCUCUCUGCUACCACCAAACAACCCCCUGAGCAGGGGUCACCCUGUGCACAUGCUGACCACCUGAUUCCAGCUGACCACUCCAUCACAGCUGACCAUCCAACCCCAGCUGAUUCCAGCUGACCAUCCCAUCCCAGCUGACCACUCAACCCCAGCUGACCAUCCAACUCCAGCUGACCAUCCACAACUCCAGCUGAUUCCAGCUGACCACCCAACUCCAAUUGACCAUCCAACUCCAGCUGACCAUCCAAACCCAGCUGAUUCCA
Melozone crissalis (California towhee) is the source of this 2701-nucleotide long non-coding RNA. RefSeq lists it as uncharacterized. The transcript has 3 exons. The record is from RefSeq and is a predicted model, not a curated record. Lineage: Eukaryota; Metazoa; Chordata; Aves; Passeriformes; Passerellidae.